This 716-nucleotide ribosomal RNA is filed under the name uncultured archaeon. RNAcentral's name for it is "bacterial SSU rRNA". It matches the Rfam family "Archaeal small subunit ribosomal RNA", at positions 526 to 1229 of the family's 1478-position model. The record is from RNAcentral.
UUGCCGAGUAAAGUUCGUCGGGAAAAUCUACUGGCUUAACCCAGUAGGCGUCCCGGCGAAAACUGCUCGGCUUGGGACCGGGAGACCCAGAGGGGUACGUCCGGGGGUAGGGAGUGAAAUCCUGUAAUCCUGGGACGGACCACCGGUGGCGAAAAGCGCCUCUGGAGAACGGGAUCCGACAGUGAGGGACGAAAGCUAGGGUCUCGAACCGGAUUAGAUACCCGGGUAGUCCUAGCUGUAAACGAUGCUCGCUAGGUGUGGCGCAGGCUACGAGCCUGCGCUGUGCCGUAGGGAAGCCGUGAAGCGAGCCGCCUGGGAAGUACGUCUGCAAGGAUGAAACUUAAAGGAAUUGGCGGGGGAGCACUACAACCGGAGGAGCCUGCGGUUUAAUUGGACUCAACGCCGGACAUCUCACCAGCUCCGACAGCAGUAAUGACGAUCAGGUUGAUGACCUUAUUCGACGCUGCUGAGAGGAGGUGCAUGGCCGCCGUCAGCUCGUACCGUGAGGCGUCCUGUUAAGUCAGGCAACGAGCGAGACCCGCACCUCUAGUUGCCAGCAGCAUCUCGCGAUGGCUGGGUACACUAGGGGGACUGCCGCUGCCAAAGCGGAGGAAGGAACGGGCAACGGUAGGUCAGUAUGCCCCGAAUGAGCUGGGCAACGCGCGGGCUACAAUGGCCAGGACAAUGGGACGCCACCCCGAGAGGGGGCGCUAAUC